RNAcentral lists this ribosomal RNA (378 nucleotides) under uncultured Bacteroidota bacterium. RNAcentral describes it as "uncultured Bacteroidetes bacterium partial 16S ribosomal RNA". It matches the Rfam family "Bacterial small subunit ribosomal RNA", at positions 458 to 835 of the family's 1533-position model. Lineage: Bacteria; Pseudomonadati; Bacteroidota. The record is from RNAcentral.
GGUGAAGGGAAUGGAAGGUAUCGUAAAAAUAAGCAUCGGCUAACUCCGUGCCAGCAGCCGCGGUAAUACGGAGGAUGCAAGCGUUAUCCGGAUUUAUUGGGUUUAAAGGGUCGGUAGGCGGGUAUUUAAGUCAGUGGUUAAAGCCUUCAGCUUAACUGUAGAAAUGCCAUUGAUACUGGAGACCUUGAGUGUAGUAGAAGUAGGCGGAAUAUGGCAUGUAGCGGUGAAAUGCAUAGAUAUGCAACAGAACACCGAUAGGGAAGGCAGCUUAGUAUGUUACAACUGACGCUGAGGCAAGAAAGCGUGGGGAGCGAACAGGAUUAGAUACCCUGGUAGUCCCCGCCGUAAACGAUGAUUACUCGCUGUGGGCGAUACACA